AUUUUCUAUAAAAUUUGGUCAUCAACAUUAAAAAUUAUAGACCAGAAGAUUGAAUGUCUGUUUAUAAACACAUUUAUUUCAGAUACAAUAUUUUAUAAGUGAUCUUUAGGAGAAAAAAAAAAAUCAUAUAACUAUGAUAUAAUAAUUCAUAUAACACAAUUUUAUUUUAAAAAUUCUAUCAUUUUGGUCAUAUUUCAGACCUGAAUGUUACAUUUUUGCUCAUAAACAAAUUACAAGUUUGUUUUAUUUUCAGCAUAAUGAAACAUGAGAUUAUAACAUAUAUAACAUACAAUUCGAUUUUUAAAAAUUAUUAUUUCUAUAAUCUGACAUCAACAUUGAAUAUUUCAGACCUGAAUGUUACAUUUUAGUUUAUAAACACAUUUAAAAAAAAAAUUCUCCAGUUAAAAUGUUUUAUAUGUGAUCUAAAAAAGUCAUCUAUUAAGUUCGGUCUAUAAUAUUGACAAUAAUGUUUUCUAUAAGUUUGGUCAUCAACAUUAAAAAUUUUAGAUUAACAAAUUAAAUGUUUGUUUAUAAACACAUUUAUCUCAGGUGUAAUAUUUCAUAAGUUAUCUUAUAAUAAAAGAUAGGGGGGGGGGGGGGUCAUAAUUCAUAUAACAUAGAAUUUUAUAAAGAAAAUUCAAUCAUUUUGGUCAUCAACAUUAAAUAUUUUAGACCUGAAGGUUAAAUUUUUGUUUAUAAACAAAGUAUAAGUUUGUUUUAUUUUAGGUAUAAUGUAACAUGCAAUUAGAAAAUACUAUAGCAUGAAAUUGAGUUUUUAUUUUUAUUUUUUCAUGAUUAUUUCUAUAAUCUUGGUCGUCAACAUUGACUACUUUAGACCUGAAUAUUAAGUUUUUGCUUAUAAACACAUUGGAAGAUUUUCUUUUUAUUUCAGAUAUAAUGUUUUAUAAGUGAUCUUUUAAAAGUUAGCACUCAUAUUACAUGCGGUUUUAAGAACUAAAAUAUCAAAUCUAAUAAGAAUAAAUUAUUUAUGCAUGAAAGGGUUAAUCCUGACUUAAGUAAAAGUGAAAAUACUUGUUUAUUAUUUAUGUUCCUGGAAUAUCCAUAUCCAAUAUGAAAAUAUCCAUUAAUUAUUAGUUAAAAAAAAUAAAAAAUGCAAAUCAAUACUGCUCCCCAUGAUCACCAGAGCUGGAGCUAUACUCUUAGAGAAAACCUUUCCUCAAGGGUUCCUAAUGAAGGUGGGACCAUUUUGCAUAGAAGUUUACUGUUAAAUUGAUUAAUGUUCCCCGCUGACCCUCCAUACACUGUGUUGCAUCUGGUCCUUCUAUGGUUAUUAUUUCCUGUUCUUAUUGCUCUGUUGUUAAUUAAUGUCACCUUUUGUGUGUUAAUUCUGUCUAAUUUGUUGGUACGAGAAUGUGCAGCAGAGUUGCUUCUAAACUGUAUAAAGUUCCACGUUAUUUGGGUUCUAGUUCUUAGUUAUACAGCGGUUCUCUCCUUUUCACCUCAGUCUGCUUCAUCUGAGUAACGACAGGAUGUUAAUGGAGUCAUCUCAUGACUUGGGAUCUUUUCUCAGUGAUGUGAGAUGGAUGGAGUUAAAUGGAGUCAGCAUCCAUUUUAACAUUUUAAUUUUUUUUUUUUUUUUUGUUUACGCCUCGGGUCAUUCCGAGCAGAUUAUAAAUAUCUCUCUAUUGUUUUUCUUUCAUGGAUCAGUUCAUUUCCUGACCUGCAGGGGCCCUCGACGUGCUUUGGAAAACGCUGGAAAAACAACAUCUCAGCACAUUUUUAUGCUGAACACAGGAAUGUGAGAGAAUUUUUUCCUAAAAAAAAAACAACAAGAGGAAACACACCACCAGAGGACGUCUCUGGACAUGGAGAACAUUUGUUGUUGUUGUUGUUUGUUCUACAUCAUGGUACUUUUAUUUGUCAAACAACAAAAUCGGGAUUUAAACCCUUUGCAUGUACAGUUAACAUUUACAAAUCGCCAACCUGAACAUAGGAAAGUGAGGAAGUUUUUUUUUUUAAAAAUUUUUAAAUGCACUACAGUAAAAAGUCUGUACAUUUACAUUUCAGUAAGAACCCGCAACUCUCCUGCCAGUAAUUUAAUGAACAAGGAAUGUUUAAAAAUAAAAAUCAUGAUCAGAAACAGGGCACAAACUCUUAUUUUAGUAAACAUCUGAGAAACCAAACACACCCAGUAUGCUUUGUUUUUCUCCCACCGGUAAGCAAGUUUUCAGUGCGUGUCAUUUCUCUUUACUAACCGCAGACGGAGAUGAAAAUUUGGCGCUGGUUAGGACACCCUGCUGGGAGAAGCAGAGCCAAUAUCUCCGGCUCAACCGGAGCACGAUGCUGCUAAUGUCAUUCCGGUUUAAAAUAAAGUCGGACGCGAGAGAUUCCAGUCCCGGCGAGGGAAACGAGUCGACGCUCUCAAAUGCAAUUUCAUCAGCUUGCUCAGUCAGUGGAAAGCUGGAGGCUCUACCAGCCAAGAAACAUUACACAUGACAUCAUUCCUCCAUCCGUCCGUGCAAACGCUCGAGUGUGUGGAACGCAGAAGGAAUGCUGAGUGUGGAAAAC
Ictalurus punctatus (channel catfish) is the source of this 2529-nucleotide long non-coding RNA. The record is from Ensembl. Lineage: Eukaryota; Metazoa; Chordata; Actinopteri; Siluriformes; Ictaluridae.